AAGAGAGCUAUCCGUCGACAGUCAAGUUAUAUACAUAUUUUAAUACUGUCAUGGAAUUGCUCUCUUUG
This 68-nucleotide microRNA precursor is filed under the name Drosophila mojavensis. RNAcentral's name for it is "Dmo-Mir-281-P2-v1_pre stem-loop". It matches the Rfam family "mir-46/mir-47/mir-281 microRNA precursor family", at positions 15 to 72 of the family's 85-position model. From Rfam's summary of the family: The hairpin precursors (represented here) are predicted based on base pairing and cross-species conservation -- their extents are not known. In this case the mature sequences are expressed from the 3' arms of the hairpin precursors. Lineage: Eukaryota; Metazoa; Arthropoda; Insecta; Diptera; Drosophilidae. The record is from RNAcentral.